UGGAGAUACAAAAUAAAUAAGUAAAUAUAUCUACACACUUACAUACCUAUGCAUAUAAACAACAUGUAGAUUCAUAAAGCCUGAUUAGAACUGGAACCAGAUUUUUAGUUUAAAAAACAACAAUGCUUAAUUUAAAAGUGCCUAAGUUACCUUUAAUGCCUUUGAUAACCUGCGGCAGUUUUAUUUUAAUAUCUUGCAGUAAAAAGACCUUGGCCCCGGAAUUCGGUAUUCAGAAUAAUUUCACCACAGGUUAAAGAAUACUGUUGCUAUCGAUGUUCAAAUGUGAAAACUGUUAUCAUUAUUUAAUUAUGCAUACUGUGCUUCUGCAAAUAACACUACUGAUAUUCGCAUAAAUGCGAUGAAUUUACAUGUACUCUGCUAGGCGAUAUGGCACCAGGUACCAGUGGAAAAUAAAAUUCACUGACGACGCAUGCAUACAUGUAUGGAAUAAUACAAUUAAUUUAGAGUCGCAGAUUUGAUCAAUGCGCAAUAACAAAUAAACAAACAAGUGUAACCAUUUUCAGAACCCUAGGUCCUGCUACUGUCUGUAACACCGGUACCAUCGUAUAUAAAGAUAUUUGAUUGUGUCGGUUUCUUUACAUAGGCGCAAUAAUCACGUUUGACGUUUUCCACUGUAUUUGGCGUAUAUAACACGGUAUAUGUCUUGCGCUAUCUGUCGCAAACUCCACAUCUAACCCAAAUUAAAAAUUUGCGGAAGGAAACGGACAAUUUCGAAAUGAAAUUUAAGACCAGUUUACAAGAAUGUCAAAAUAUCAGAGUGGAAAUGACUAGACAGUUGGUUUAUUCCAUGCCAAAAUGUUCAAACAGCAACCUGCAGAGUAAACAAGGAAGAGACGUUAGACGGCUGUUCCCGAACAGAGAAUAUCCUGAAUCCUCUUUUCCAGCCGCUACGAGCUCUUUUGCUUUAGCAUAAUUAAAAAUACAUAAAUAUAAAUAUAUCUUCUACCAACACCAAUUGCAAUACCAAUACCAAAAAAAAUAAAUUUAAAAACUUUAAAAAAUGUUCAACAGUAGAUCUUGUGCUAUAGAAUAUAUGUGCAUCCUCAAAAACUAAAUUGUAAUAAAAUUGUGGCUUAAAUUGGUGGGUAGUUCAAAUUAAAUUGGCUUAAUUAUUUAAUUUAUAGCUAUAAGGUGGUGGCGGGAGUGUCGAUUGCAAUAAAAUUAAGGAUACUUGAUAUAUGCAUCUACUAUUUAAAAAGCUAAGUUUGGUGACUCUAACCUCUUAAAAUUUGAUUUGCUCAAAAUAAGGAUUUCGGUAUCGAUUCUUAUUAAUUGCUUGGAAACGAGGCAAGGUUUCAAUUAUCGAAAACAACUCUUACUGCAUGAGCACUGGGACCUGCGUUCAAAAUUGUAAGUCUCUAGCUGUUAUAGGUUCUGAGAUCCUUGCGUUCAUACUAUUGUUGUAUCAAGUAUAUAAAUAUUUUCUGGGGUCGGAAAUGCUUUCUUUUGCCCGUUUACACACCUUUGCACAAGUAAAUUAUACCCAUUAAUUGGUUCAGAGUUUAACAAAUAAAAGGCUCUAGUCGGCAGUUCACGACAAGGGGAUACUUCGAACACUCUUCUACAUCAAAUGCAGCGCCUACGCUGCGAGCUCGCUGGUUUUAGAAGUAACACAACUUAAUUAAACUAGGAAGUGAAGUCAUUUCCGGCACGUCGAAGAUUUCACAAUCUUGUUGACUUUCCCUUUUAAAGAUAUAUGAGAAUAGAGCAGCGAGAAAAUGCUGAGUUUGUUGAAAAUAUCGUAGAAAAAUGUAUGUUUUGCCAUACAAAGUCUAACUAUUCCACGAUCUUUCUUAAAGCAGUUAUAUGAUAUAUAUGUGGUAAGAUCGAAACUACAUGUAUGGGGUAUAGCAAAACUUAGAAAUACGAAUUUGAUUAAAAUAUCUUAAUAUAAACAAAAAUUGUUCAAUACAAAUACUUAUUUUUCUACCGAUCGUUACUAUGGCAGUUAUAUUAUAUAGCUAUUCGUUGUAAGGAAGAUUAUGCAAAUGCCGAGGGGUAAGAUAACAUGAUAAACAAAAAAAUGUGUCAACUUCUGCACCGAUUGUUCCUCUGGUAUACGAUAUAGUGGUGUGAUUCGGCUGGAUCGGACAAAAAAAAAGACGUGUGAAAAGUUUGAAAACGGUAGCUAAGAGACUAAUUCGAAUAAAUAUACUCCAUGUGGUCUUAGAUGUCUCCUCCUAUGCCUUACACAUUUCAUACAAAAAUUAAAAUGCUCUUUAAGGGCAUAAAAUAAUUGGGCUCGUAGGCUCGUAAGAUAUUUGCCGAAAAAACAAAUGAUUUAUUAGUAGGACCUACGUUAAAAAUUGGAUGUUUUUAGCUUUUAUAGGCGAUUUAGCCAUCGACAAGUGAUACUGAUCGAGAAUACAUAUACUUUAUGGUGUCGGAGAUACUGCCUUCCGCCUGUUACAUACAUUUGAACAAUACCAUUAUACCCUUUUUAAACCUUCUGCAAUGGGUUCAGGAAAUAAAAAUACUAUGUCUAGCUAAAACGAAUAUAUAUUUAUAUACAUAAAAUAUAUAUUUCGAAAUAUGAGAGCCUUUCCUCGAUAUAUUUAAUUUGUUUUGAUUCUUAUUUCACUUACUAAGUCUCCUAAGUUGAGUUCGGUUAACGUUAAAUCAUUUUAUUUGUGAGCCUAUAAACAUAAACAAUGAUGUAACUCAGUUAUUUAAGUUCGAAAGAGUGGUGCUUGAUGAUUUAUAAACUUAGUCUUAAAACGAAUGCCUCAAGAGGAACGAGCACAUAUUUAGAUUCCUACUAAGCUUUUAAAUACUUUUAUUUAAAAAAAUUUUAAAAUUAUUCAGACCGUCUGCGUAAGUGACGUCCAUUCAUAUGUUUUAGCCAGUAAAGUUCAAUCAAUAAAUGGAUUGCGAUUUGAUGUAUCUCAGACUGGAUCAUCAGAUCAACAGGCCACUAAUCACCUGACAAUGAGGUUUUACUUAUAACAUUUAUUGAGAAGUUAUUAGCACUUAAGAAAGAAUUUUCUAGAAUUCGGUCCAUUGUGGCCACCGCAGGUUUCCCUGGUGUACAUUACAUUAUACAAUAGACGUUAUUGAUACGAGUAUCUGAUGAUCUAUAACUUUAUUGUUGCGUGAAAAAAAAAAUAGAAAAAUUGUUGGCUUAUCGCAUCAUUUGUUCCGUCAAAAUAUAUAUAUACAAAAUUCAUAUACUAGAACAUUAUUUAUCGAAAUUCAUAAGAAUAUUUGAAUAUGUUACAAUAUAGUGGGUACUUUAAAGAGAUAAGUCAAUUGAGUUGAGCCAUAGACAAAAUAAUAAAUAUAUAUAUACAUACAAAAUUCAUAUUGUAGUACAUUGCUUAUCGAAAUUCAUUACAUCAAUACUUUCAUAACAUAUGUUGCAAUAAAGUAGGUACUCUUAAGAGAUAAGUCAGUUGCGACAAACCGUAUAUAAUUGUUUAAAGCCAAAAUAGCUUUGAAAUUAGAAAAUAAUUGACUUAUAUAUUAAAUAGUUACAGCACUAAUCGUUCGUUUAUAGCACUUUUCACUCUGCUGAGACAAUCAAACAUACAUCUUACUAUACAAAAAAA
Molecule: non-coding RNA, 3569 nt
Organism: Drosophila virilis
Lineage: Eukaryota; Metazoa; Arthropoda; Insecta; Diptera; Drosophilidae
Source: RefSeq, a predicted model, not a curated record